GACGAACGCUGGCGGCGUGCUUAACACAUGCAAUUCGAACGGAAAGGCCCUGCUUUUGUGGGGUGCUCGAGUGGCGAACGGGUGAGUAACACGUGAUUAACCUGCCCUUGACUUUGGGAUAACUUCAGGAAACUGGUGCUAAUACCGGAUAGGAGCUCCUGCUGCAUGGUGGGUGUUUGAAAGUUUCGGCGGUUGGGGAUGGACUCGCGGCUUAUCAGCUUGUUGGUGGGGUAGUGGCUUACCAAGGCUUUGACUGGUAGCCUGCCUGAGAGGGUGACCGGGCAAAUUGGGAACAGACAAACGACAAGACAGCUACGGGGGGGAGACGGUGGGGAGAAUGUAACAUGGGCGGAAGCCCGGAGCAGGAAAGCCGCCAGCGGGCAGACGGCCUUCGGGUUGUAAACCGCUUUCGCCUGUGACGAAGCGUGAGUGACGGUAAUGGGUAAAGAAGCACCGGCUAACUACGUG
Molecule: ribosomal RNA, 468 nt
Filed under: uncultured bacterium
Lineage: Bacteria
Description: partial 16S ribosomal RNA
Rfam family: Bacterial small subunit ribosomal RNA
Source: RNAcentral